AAGGCAAAACUUAUCCAGGUAUAGAAGUUUAAUUUGAUUACAUUAAAUAUGACUUUAACAUUUAAUAAUUUAGUUCUAGCCAAAUUGUUUCCCCAAGUCAUCAUUUGAGGGGUUCCUGAUUCCUGAGGAUCUCAUUGUUUUCUCCUUGAAAGCACUCAGAUCCUUUGUUUGUUAAGGGGUGGCUUUGCUGGUGUGGCUAUGGGUUAUACCUUAAUGUUAUGGAAAUGGCACAGUCUGGACUGAGUCCAGCUGAGAUUAGUCAGGAUUUCAGGAUUCUCAUGACGAAAGUAACACUACUGUUAGUGCUAAAUUUUUUUCCACAGGCAAAUUAUUCACGCUGCAUAACAGUUCAGAGUUAAUGACCACCUUGGAACUGAGGGAUUCCAGCAGAGGGUCACGUCCUUGAAAAUGUUCCUAUUUCACAGGGAGGGUCCUGGCCUGGCUCCCUGGCUGAGAUUCCUCACCCAGAAUCCCCACCUCUACUGCCUGCCCUUCAAUUGUCCUGCUUCCCAGCUGGGUUUGAAAGAGAGAGAAAGCAGGCAGAACCCAUUUGGUUCUCAUGUUUCUGGUAGCACCACCCAGUCGGCUCAGAGAAUUAUCUUUAAAAGUUUUAAGAUGUGUGUUCACUUCACAGAUAUUUCUUAAUGGUCUGGUGUCCAUCUGGCAAGGGGACAGGCAUGGCAGAUCCUGGGAUGAGUGAGAUAGACUUGGUGUUCGCUCUCAUGGAGCUUAUCCAGUGAAGAAGACACAAUGGACAAGCUGUUGAAAGGUGAUGAGUUGUGAGAAAGGGCAAGUAGAGGGGGCUAGAAUCUAAACCUGGGGGCACUAACCAACUUUGAGGGGUCAGGGGAGUGCAUGUUGGAGUUGACUGGAUGAAGGCUGGAGAAGAAAACUAUUCCACAUGGAAGGAACCAUUUCUAUAAAGUCCCUCAAGCAGAAAAGCCAGUCAUGUUGGAGGAACUACCAGAGGCCAGUAGGUCUGAGCAAUGAAAGUGGAAGAAGGCCUCUUACAUGUGGCUGAAGAAGGAGGCCAUCAGGUCAUGGGAGAUCCUGAGAGGUAUGGCAAGGAUUUUGGACUUUAUACCCAGAGCAGCAGUAAACUGUGAAGGAUUUUAGGCUGAGCAGUGACCAGAUAAGACAUACUCAUUCCUAAUAACUGCUUAUUCUCCCAUGGUUCUUCACCAUCUCCAGUAUCCCUCCAGCACCAUCAUGGGGGUGCUCUCCAAGGUGCUGUAUGCCUCGUGGCUCUGAAUCAUCCCCACUGUCAGGCUGCACACUGAGUAGCCCACACCCAAACCUAGUUUCUAAGGUUGAGCAUCAGCCUCUGAAGUUUAAGGGGAAUAAAAGAGGUGCAGGGAACACCCAUGGACACAGCCCCCUUCUUUCCUUGCCCACACUGUUGUCAACAUGCCCUCCUGUGUGACUGCACCAUGCAGCCCAUCAGAACAGAGCCACUACAGGAGCCAGAAAUGUCAGAGAAAAAGAAAAGGCAUACAAAAUGUAAGCAGGUCUGCCUUCCCCAAAGUUUAUUUUACUAUACUGCUUCCCAACUAAAAGGAAGAAUAUAUUUUUUUUUCUUGAGAAUAUAGAAACACUUUAUUUGUUCAGGUUCUCAGAGUUUAGAACCAGCAUAAUGAAAGGACUUCAGAAAAAUUAUAUUGCUAAUCUAUUUAUAUGUAUUUUUGUGUGUGUCUGCUUGGACACAUAUAAUAUGUGCUCCAUUUCAUACGGUAUGAUAAUGGAACAACAACUAGGCAGCAUGUUAUGUGAGUGGCUUUGCAGGUUCUCUACAUGAUGUGCCAGGCUCACUGCUAGGCAGUGGAGUUCAUAAAGGUGAACAAAUUCUUCUCUCAGGUACUUAGCAGACUACAGAGGACAUGGAAUAUGUGCACAGUUUAUGAAAAUGAGAUCUCCACCUUAUGUAAGGAAAAUAUGUAAUAUUUUCAGAGUCUAUGGCUAACUGCUCUUAAAAACAGGACAACAGGCCCCAAAUGGAGUCACUAAUGCUAAGCCCCACGUCCCAAACCAAGACUUAAUUACAGUUUUGGCUCUCCCGGAAAUGGAAUCUCAAACCAGGCUAUCAGGAAUUGCCUGAUCAGCACUAGUUAAUCUGCCUGAUAGACCCCUGUCCUCCCCUAAACGAAAGUAAUGUUGCAAUAACCAACCUUCUUUUUACCUAAUAUAACUUCCUUGUUUCUGCUUCCUUCUGCCUACAAAAUUCUCUCAUUUUGUACAUUCCCUUCGAGCUCCUUUCUGUCUCCUAGGAGGGAUGCUGUCCAAUCGAAUUGAUUUUUGCUUAAAGAAGCUCUUAAAAAUUUCAAUAUGCCUCAGUUUAUCUUUUAACAGCUCUGGUGUGAGAAGAGGGAACUUAAGGAGACCCCCCAAAAGCCCCAAGAAGCAAAAGCAACCAGACUUGGUUACCUGCUGAGCCCUUGAACUCUGCUUUCCUGGUGCCUCUGGAGGUGAAAAAAAGGGGUCUCAGCCAGAUAUUCAUCAUAAAGCAUAGAGGGAAAAUGAUUUUUCCUCCUCUAAAAUUUUUGGUGACCAGGAUGGGACCAGCUGGGACACCCUACUCACUGCAGACAGGAUCCUAGGAGAACUGGCAGAAGCCAUCAAAGAGACUGGAAACUCUUCAGUUGCCAGCAACUUAAAAAAUCAGGUAAAUUAGGAAAGCCAUCUCCUAGCAGGUGCAGAAAUCUCAAAGUAUUUUGGGGACCUUGAAAAGGGAGGAAUUCACCCAAAUAUGUAGAUAACUCAGGUGAAAUCAUUGACAAGCCUUUGCCAUGGCUUUCCUGGCCUUGACAGGCCUUUUAAAAAUUCAAUCCGAGGUGCCAAAUAAUAGGUUCCAGCAAAGCCAAUUUCAGAUGAGCCUGUAUGAGUAACUACACUUCUGUAAAUCAUCAAGCCAAGAUUUUUGAAGCCAGAAUUAUUUAGCAAACAAAUUAGUCUUAAUUUGGCUAUAUUUGGUAGAAAUGAGGGUAAUUUUAGAGAGAAAAAGAUCAUGUUUCUAUGGAGAGUAAAUUCAAGUUUUGUUAAUUGAGGUCUAUAUUUACUAAGAGCCACUUCCCAAAUAUCUCCUUUUUAUUAUAUUCUUGUAAAUUUUAGCUGAAUCAUUAAAAGGACACUCUAGUUUGUUACUGAAGUUUUUCUCAUUAAUCCAUCUUUGGAUGAAGAUCAUAUGCCCCAUGACCUGCAACCAGGGGAUUAUGCAUACUGGAGAAGACGUCAUUUAAAGACUGUCUCCAACCUAGAUGGUAGGACCCUUAUCAGGUCCUCUUCACUAGCUCAUGCACAGUGAACCUGAAGGGAAUUGACUCUUGGAUUAAUAUUUCCACUUAAAAAGGGCCCCUGAAAUGGACUGGCCUAUACAGAGCACUGCUGACCUCAAAAUCACCUUAAAACAAUGCUCAAACAGAGGAGAAACUACCAGACCACGAUGGUAAGAAGAAGACAUCUAAAGUAGACAGCUGAUCCAAGAUGCCAAACCCGGCCUGUAUACCAGUUACUUUGAUAAUUGCUUACACUUGCUUAUGAACUAAACGUAUUUCACAAUCUUAAGCAGAGUUAAAAUUAAUUGAAUUGUUGAGUUUAUGGUCAAUUAUCUAUAUCCAGUACUUCUGGUUACCUUGGUGGAUUUCUCCACUCCAAGGCUCUAAUUGGAUGGCCCUUAGGAAAUUAUUCUAGAAGAAAGAAGUUAUAGUUCUGUUUGGGCCACUAUUGAUAUUACUGGAUGGGACUCCCUCACUUGGCCAAUCAAUCAUAGUUGCUCUGACCAUUGCCAUAAAUAUAAAAGACCCCCCUUAUGUUGGGAACAAUUCAACCAUACUAAGGGUAGCCAGGCUAAAUAAUACAAGGAAAUGUGUCUGGGUGCCUUAUGAACAAUGCCAGUAUAUCAUUUCCUUUAAAGGUAAGGAUUGGUACAGAACAGAUUAAGUCAGAUGACCUAGGGGUAUACUGUGUGGAACCUAAUGGAAGUUCUUGGCUUAAAUUCUUACUUAUAACCUUACAAAUACUACUAGCUAUAUUACUUGUAUUCUACCUAUUUUAUAAGAUUGUUGUUUCUUUCCUUACCAAAUAUGUGACUGAGCCUCUGAUAAAAUAAUAAGAAGGUGACUUAAGGCUGUUGACCAGAUAUAUAGUUCUAUACAAGAUCAAUGAUGGUAAUAGUGUAACUUUAGAUAUGGAAAGAAGCAUCAAGAGGGAAUGAUUUCCUGGACCAUAACAGACUAGUAAAUCAGUGGUCCAGAGACUUUUGGCUAUAGUUAAUAGGGCCUAGUCCAGUAAUAGCACACUGAGUGGCCUAUCAGUGAGAUCUUUGCCUGGGACAAAAUGAUGAUGAAAUGCCUCCCAAACCAUGGUCGAAUUUAUGACCAUGAGAGGGCACUGCCAACUAAAAAUGGUCACUUGCCAUCUGUCACUACAAGUAUGAUAUCACUAGCCAAUGCAGUCACUGACUUUUGACACACCCUGAAAAGAGUUCAUGGUGGAGAUCAGGAAUGAGGUACUCCGUGCUCUGGAAGGAUCUGGCAGAACAGGUCUUCAGAUAGUUAGAUAUUUUCAGGAGAAGAUUUCAUGAACCUGAUUUCUUGCUUCUUCCUAUAUCUAGAAAGUAUCUAGAAAAUCACUAAAAUCAUUAACGGAGACAUCUGCUCCUCAUGACUAGCAGCAACCUUCUUGUGACCGGCAGCAACCCUCUGCCAGAAAUGUGUACUUGAUUGCAUGUAUCCCUCUUCACUAAAAUCACGUAUAUACUGACCUCCCUCCACCUCUUUAGAGCAGUUCCUCAGAGAUAUCUGAGAGGCUUCUCCUGGGCUAUAGUCCUCAUUUUGCCCCAAAGAAAACUUAACUCACAACUCUCACAUUGUGCAUUGUUUUUCAGUCGACACCUUCAAACUAAAAAUUUAAAAUAAAAUGUCUUCAUUUUUGACAAGCA
Molecule: long non-coding RNA, 4933 nt
Organism: Aethalodelphis obliquidens (Pacific white-sided dolphin)
Lineage: Eukaryota; Metazoa; Chordata; Mammalia; Artiodactyla; Delphinidae
Exons: 3
Source: RefSeq, a predicted model, not a curated record